RNAcentral lists this ribosomal RNA (619 nucleotides) under Trichosporon sp. HP-2014. Its description in RNAcentral is "LSU rRNA". It matches the Rfam family "Eukaryotic large subunit ribosomal RNA", at positions 1 to 634 of the family's 3401-position model. The record is from RNAcentral. Lineage: Eukaryota; Fungi; Basidiomycota; Tremellomycetes; Trichosporonales; Trichosporonaceae.
UCUGGCCUCAAAUCAGGUAGGACUACCCGCUGAACUUAAGCAUAUCAAUAAGCGGAGGAAAAGAAACUAACAAGGAUUCCCUUAGUAACGGCGAGUGAACCGGGAAGAGCUCAAAUUUGAAAUCUGGCUGUCUUCGAUAGUCCGAGUUGUAAUCUAUAGAAGCGUUUUCCGUGCUGAACUGUGUCUAAGUCCUCUGGAACGAGGUAUCAAAGAGGGUGACAAUCCCGUACUUGACACAAUCAUCAGUGCUCUGUGAUACGUUCUCUACGAGUCGAGUUGUUUGGGAAUGCAGCUCAAAAUGGGUGGUAAAUUCCAUCUAAAGCUAAAUAUUGGCGAGAGACCGAUAGCGAACAAGUACCGUGAGGGAAAGAUGAAAAGCACUUUGGAAAGAGAGUUAAACAGUACGUGAAAUUGUUAAAAGGGAAACGAUUGAAGUCAGUCGUGUUUAUUGGAUUCAGCCGGUCUUCGGUGUACUUCCUUUAAACGGGUCAACAUCAGUUUUGUUCGGUGGAUAAAGGCAGUAGGAAUGUGGCUCCCUCGGGAGUGUUAUAGCCUAUUGUCACAUACACUGGAGGAGACUGAGGACUGCAGCUCGCCUUUUUGGCCGGGGUUCGCCCAC